GACGAACGCUGGCGGCGUGCUUAACACAUGCAAGUCGAACGGAAAGGCCCUGCUUUUGUGGGGUGCUCGAGUGGCGAACGGGUGAGUAACACGUGAGUAACCUGCCCUUGACUUUGGGAUAACUUCAGGAAACUGGGGCUAAUACCGGAUAGGAGCUCCUGCUGCAUGGUGGGGGUUGGAAAGUUUCGGCGGUUGGGGAUGGACUCGCGGCUUAUCAGCUUGUUGGUGGGGUAGUGGCUUACCAAGGCUUUGACGGGUAGCCGGCCUGAGAGGGUGACCGGCCACAUUGCGACUGAGAUACGGCCCAGACUCCUACGGGAGGCAGCGGUGGGGAAUGUGGCACAGUGGGCGGGAGCCUGAUGCAGCAACGCCGCGUGCGGGAUGACGGCCUUCGGGUCGUAAACCGCUUUCGCAUGUGACGAAGCGUGAGUGACGGUAAUGGGUAAAGAAGCACCGGCUAACUACGUG
RNAcentral lists this ribosomal RNA (468 nucleotides) under uncultured bacterium. RNAcentral describes it as "partial 16S ribosomal RNA". It matches the Rfam family "Bacterial small subunit ribosomal RNA", at positions 28 to 507 of the family's 1533-position model. The record is from RNAcentral.